This 267-nucleotide unclassified non-coding RNA is filed under the name plant metagenome. RNAcentral describes it as "partial contains small subunit ribosomal RNA, internal transcribed spacer 1, and 5.8S ribosomal RNA". The record is from RNAcentral.
UUUCCGUAGGUGAACCUGCGGAAGGAUCAUUAUCGUACAAAAUGUGAGGGGCAUGCAAGGGCUGUCGCUGACCCAAAAGUCGUGCACGCCCGAGUGUGUCCUCUUGCAUAAUAAUCCAUCUCACCCUUUGUGCAUCACCGCGUGGGCACCCUUCGGGAUCAUCUCGGAGGGGGGCUCGCGUUUUCACACAAACCCCCCUUUUAAAAGUGUAGAAUGACCACGUUUAUGCAAUCAAUACAACUUUCAACAACGGAUCUCUUGGCUCUC